This 523-nucleotide ribosomal RNA is filed under the name uncultured archaeon. RNAcentral's name for it is "partial 16S ribosomal RNA". The record is from RNAcentral.
ACUGCACACACCACACCCGCCGCCCCACCUAUUCCGACCACGGCAGCGUGGAAAAGAAUUCCGUCGAACAACGGAACAUCAUCCUGGUCGAUGUCUCCAGGCGAGUCCACACCUCCAUGCCCACGUAUAGGGCCGCAAGAGUCACCAUAGCGACCGUAAUCCCUUUCAAGAAUUCCAUUUCACCUCCUAGUCGAUUUGUUGUCGGGAUCGCAUAAUCUCGAUCAUUCUCCGCAGAAUAGCUUUCUUGUCCUCCAGGUCGAUCCCCGGCGAGGCCCUGGCCUCGGCUUUUAAGUCCUCGAAUCCCGCCGGGUCAAGCUCGGGCAUCGCCUCGAUCCGGCGGACGAUAACCUUGUCCUCGUAAAUCCGUUGCGCUUUUUGGGCUUCGUCCUUGGAUAGCGGGGGCGGGUCGUGAUGCUGGUCCCGGUCGCCGAUGCGUUGGGAAUGCCUUCUAUCAGCGCUCCAUUUCACCGCACGAUUACACACCCUGUGAAGGCAUAGGCCAUGCACCAGUUGUGAGGGUUCC